AUGCAAAUUACCCAUUUACACAAUUUCAGAUUCAUCAUCUGCCCAUUCGUAUUUCUUAUAACAAUUCAAAAACCAUUAAAUCGAGAAACUCAAGAAUGUAAAAAAAAAAAAACGAGAGGAAAAUAUGAAAGCGAUCAGAACCUGUCGGGAUUCAUAAAUAACAUCAAAGAAUAUCAGCGGAUUGACAGACAUAUGAAUUUCUAUCAUCACUUCGCUUUUCUUUUCUUUCCCCUCUAA
This is a non-coding RNA of Vicia faba (fava bean), 237 nucleotides long. The record is from the annotation of a GenBank genome assembly. NCBI's taxonomy places the organism in Eukaryota, Viridiplantae, Streptophyta, Magnoliopsida, Fabales, Fabaceae.